AGUGAACGCUGGCGGUAGGCCUAACACAUGCAAGUCGAACGGCAGCACAGUAAGAGCUUGCUCUUACGGGUGGCGAGUGGCGGACGGGUGAGGAAUACAUCGGAAUCUACUUUUUCGUGGGGGAUAACGUAGGGAAACUUACGCUAAUACCGCAUACGACCUACGGGUGAAAGCAGGGGAUCUUCGGACCUUGCGCGAUUGAAUGAGCCGAUGUCGGAUUAGCUAGUUGGCGGGGUAAAGGCCCACCAAGGCGACGAUCCGUAGCUGGUCUGAGAGGAUCAACAGCCACACUGGAACUGAGGCAGGGUCCAGACUCCUACGGGAGGCAGCGGUGGGGAAUAUUGGACAAUGGGCGCAAGCCUGAUCCAGCCAUACCGCGUGGGUGAAGAAGGCCUUAGGGUUGUAAAGCCCUUUUGUUGGGAAAGAAAAGCAGCAGGUUAAUACCCCGCUGUUCUGACGGUACCCAAAGAAUAAGCACCGGCUAACUUCGUG
This 492-nucleotide ribosomal RNA is filed under the name uncultured bacterium. RNAcentral's name for it is "partial 16S ribosomal RNA". It matches the Rfam family "Bacterial small subunit ribosomal RNA", at positions 29 to 507 of the family's 1533-position model. The record is from RNAcentral.